UGAUCUCUUGGGAUUCUUCUUUAAUUUCUGAUUAAUUGACAAAAUAAUCAAGGGAGGGAACAGGACCACCCCUCCCCCCCCAAAAAAAAAUCUAAAAUAUAAUUUUGUUUUAUUACGUUAGGAGUGUUAUAACGUUUUCCUUUUGCCUGUUUAGGUCAUACCAGCUUUUUAAAACUGUGUUCCCUUUGAUGCCAUAAUGUUGUUAUUCUUGAAACAUACAAUCCAAAAACUUGCAUGUUUCAUAUCUUGCUGAUUAGAGAAGUCAAUGCUUACAUUCUUACCACUGCAGGUUAUCCUUGUGACAGAACAGUUACUGCUCCACUCCAACCAUGGCAAGUCACCCAUUUGUAUACUCACUGCUUCACUUCAACUAUUAUCUUCAAUGGGCUGGUUGUUUCUUUGACAGAGUUUGCUGCUGCCUGCACAGAUGAUGAAAGUCUAACAACUUGGAACAUGUCUAAAAACUCACUGCAGGCUAUCCAUGUGACUGUAAAGGUUGUGCUAUCUAGAAACUCAACGCUUCACUUUAACCACUGUAGUUCAUCCAUGUGACAGGGACCAUUAUCUUCAAUUGGCAAGUCUUAAAGUUUUUAUCCAAUGUCUACUAAAUUUGAACUUUACUUCGCCUCAUCAAACGAAACUUGUCCUGUUUACUGGGGUUAGAUAUCUCUAGUUUUUUUACCUUAUCAAGUCCUGGGACACUGGUAACUAAACAAAUGUUUUUGUAACCUUUAAAUUGUUCCCAGGCUGACUUUGUGUCAUUCAUGCAACAUUACCAAAGUUAGUGCCAUUCUUUUAGAAAGAUUGCAAAUCUAAUAACAGUUCAAGAUCCAUUUGUUUCAAGUUUAAUAAAUUGUUCUUUCUUGGGAUCCUUCUCUUUUAAUUAUAUUUUUUGUUCAAUUUGUCAAUAUAAUCAAUGGCCGAUCAGGGGGGCUUGCCUCCCCCUAACAACUCUGAAAACCAAGGUUUUUUGUUAAGUUAGGAUUGUUACAUUUUAUAUUUGAAAUUGGCGCCAGAUUGAGAGGUUAACAAACCUAAUAAUCAGACAACCCUAGAUGUAAAAAGCUGAAGCUGCCCAGUCCCCUGAAACUUCUUAACCUUGUGAUUUCAAUCCUUAAAUAGUUUUCCAGAGCAAAUGUGCCAUUUCUUAAUUUCAACAACAUGUUGGUACAGUUUAGUCAACUGUCUUUAAAAAAACAAACCAAUCUUGUGAUUUUGAAUAAUGUGCUUGAUACUUUCAUGUAUAUGUCUUGAUUCUGUCUCUGUUGCCAUGCUGGUUGUUUCUUUGACAGAGUUGGCUGCUGCCUGCACAGAUGAUGAAAGUUGAACACCUUGGAAAAUGUAUAGGAAUUCACUGCAGGCUACCCAAGUUGCUAUAAAGGUUGUGAUAUAGAAACUUCCUGCUUAACUCCAAACACUGUAGUUCAUUCAUGUGACAGCAACUAUUAUCUGCAAUGGGCUGGUUGUUCUUUGACAGAGUUAGCUGCUGCCUGCACCGAUGAUGAAAGUCUAACAACUUGGAACAUGUGUAAAAAUCCACUGCAUGCUAUCCACGUGACUGUAGCUUAAAGGUUGUUCUAUCUAGAAACUCGAUGCUUCAUUCCAACCACUGUAGUUCACUGUGAGGCAAAUAUUAUCUUCAAUGGGCUAUCCAUGUGACUGUACAGGCUGUGCUAUCUAGAAACUCAAUGCUUCACUUUAACCACUAUAGGUCAUCCAUGUGAUUGCAACUAUUAUCUUCAAUGGGUUAUCCAUGUGACGGCACAGUUACUGCUACAGUUGCUGCAGGUCAUCCGCACAGGCACAGCUUGUCCAAGUAUUAAGUCACAAGGAACUGGAGUGUAUAAUGUAAGCCUUUCUUUCAUUCUAAAGGGCCAGUCACACUGCAGCAAUAAAGAUAACAACGCAUAGAAAUUUAUUCAACCAAUCGUUGGCGUGCAUUGUAAUGCUUUCAUAUUCGUUAUCGAGGCCUUUAAGCCACCCCUUUACCGUUUCUUUUUAGGACUAACUGUUCUAACAUCAGGCUGGCCACUUUUUUUAACUCUCUUUCAAUUUUUAGUUUUUUACCCAAGUCUUUUCUUCCAUGUUAUCUUAAUUAAACUCUUGCAAGUUUUUGAUCAACCCAAAAGCACACUCUCUCCAGUCCCUUAAAACUUUUCAUCUUACUGAUUUUCAAACAGCCAAAUGUUUGUGAGCUGCUUUUGUGCUUAAAUUCUCUUAAACUGUCCUAACCAAUUGUAUACAGACAAUUUUAUCCAAGGCUUGACUUUGUUUGGAUUGGUCAUCCAGUUGGUUGUGAUGUGGAAAGCUCCAAACUCAUGUUAUGUUUACCGAAAAUCAUUUGUCAAUUAUUUGGUAUUUGCAGGAAGUAUCAACCGGGCUUUACAUGUGUUGAUAUUUGAUGCUUUACAUGUAGUGGGUUGUUUUGGUAGCUCACUAUCUUGUACCUAAGUACACCCUUGCAAGCA
Asterias rubens (European starfish) is the source of this 2468-nucleotide long non-coding RNA. RefSeq lists it as uncharacterized. NCBI's taxonomy places the organism in Eukaryota, Metazoa, Echinodermata, Asteroidea, Forcipulatida, Asteriidae. The transcript has 5 exons. The record is from RefSeq and is a predicted model, not a curated record.